Molecule: transfer RNA, 82 nt
Filed under: bacterium
Lineage: Bacteria
Description: tRNA-Leu
Rfam family: tRNA
About the family: Transfer RNA (tRNA) molecules are approximately 80 nucleotides in length.
Source: RNAcentral
GGGUAGGUGGUGAAAUUGGCAAACACGUACGGUUCAGGGCCGUAUGCCGCAAGGCUUGCGGGUUCAACUCCCGCCCUACCCA